UUCCAUCAAUCGAUUUAGUAUCAAAUUAGUUCAUAUUCCACUCUAUUUGAAUAGAGUUAUUGAAAGCUAAAAUCACUACGUCUUAGAUAUGAUUAAGAACUUGCACAAUUGUAUUGAACAGAAGUCCGAAUUCUGUCAUUAACUCCUUGAAUAUAAUUACACAGACCAGUACAGUUACCAUCACAAUCCAAAGUCAAUUCCCAGCAAAGUAACCUAAAAAGAAGCAUCAAUGUCCUAAAGUUUCUUAUCAUGUCAAAUUCCUUUGGCACAGCUAAUUUGUCUUGCCAUUGCAGAUAAAGAAAGUAAUGAAAACAAGAAAGCAUUGAUGCAGGGGAUGGAUUAAUGUGGACAUGAUCAUGGUUUUAGAGUCUUUAGACGGAGAUUUGGGCAGAGAGUAUUGCAAUGAGCUUUCGUCUUCCAUAUGCAUAUUAAUACAGCACAAAGACUUGUGGUUUCGGACAGGCCCAUCUUUGUGCAUGCAGCUCUUCUUGAAGGAAUCCACUUCUAUUUCAUUACAUUGGAACUAUCUAACUACAGAAGCACGGGGUGUGUUCAUUUUUUAAUGAAAGAUAACAUAGAGAAAAUGAAUUCUACAUUUUGAAGCAAUAGAAGACUUCUAAACCAAAGAGAUCAG
Molecule: long non-coding RNA, 634 nt
Filed under: Olea europaea subsp. europaea
Lineage: Eukaryota; Viridiplantae; Streptophyta; Magnoliopsida; Lamiales; Oleaceae
Source: RNAcentral